This 604-nucleotide ribosomal RNA is filed under the name uncultured bacterium. RNAcentral describes it as "bacterial SSU rRNA". It matches the Rfam family "Bacterial small subunit ribosomal RNA", at positions 243 to 847 of the family's 1533-position model. The record is from RNAcentral.
AGAUAGUUGGUGAGGUAACGGCUCACCAAGUCCACGAUGGAUAGGGGUUCUGAGAGGAAGGUCCCCCACACUGGUACUGAGACACGGACCAGACUCCUACGGGAGGCAGCAGUGAGGAAUAUUGGUCAAUGGGCGAGAGCCUGAACCAGCCAAGUCGCGUGAAGGAUGAAGGAUCUAUGGUUUGUAAACUUCUUUUAUAUGGGAAUAAAGUGAGGAACGUGUUCCUUUUUGUAUGUACCAUAUGAAUAAGCAUCGGCUAACUCCGUGCCAGCAGCCGCGGUAAUACGGAGGAUGCGAGCGUUAUCCGGAUUUAUUGGGUUUAAAGGGUGCGUAGGUGGUUAAUUAAGUCAGCGGUGAAAGUUUGUGGCUCAACCAUAAAAUUGCCGUUGAAACUGGUUGACUUGAGUAUAUUUGAGGUAGGCGGAAUGCGUGGUGUAGCGGUGAAAUGCAUAGAUAUCACGCAGAACUCCGAUUGCGAAGGCAGCUUACUAAACUAUAACUGACACUGAAGCACGAAAGCGUGGGGAUCAAACAGGAUUAGAUACCCUGGUAGUCCACGCAGUAAACGAUGAUUACUAGCUGUUUGCGAUACACAGUAAGCGGC